GUGUCUACACGGGUGCACGAGUCGCUUUCCUGGUUGCCGGCAAUAUUUCGUACCCAGGUCAGUCUGGGUCGAUCCACCAGCGAUGCACUUGUGCGAUUGCGAGCGCUGUUGCCGGCGAUAGGGGAUCCGACUCGCGGCACAGGGCGCUCGGUCGGAUAUCCUAGAUUCCUGAAAAAAAAUCGUCAAAGUAAGAAAGGAUGCAUCCGGCAGGCGUUGCGCGCCACGUGGCAUACAUGCGGAUCGACGAGUUCCGGAUACUACACGAGACGUACAGCGCCAAGUACGGCGUUCUGAAUGGCAAACACGACAUCGGGCAGGUGUAGUGAUGGUGAUCCUGUUGUGGUUGUUGUUGUCGGCGAAAAUGGAGGUGUUACGAAUGGUACAUGUAAUGAUAGCGGAACCCUGAAACCGUUACCAGCGGGGUAGCGUCCUUUGCGUCUCGCGGGCCGAUAACGACAUCGAGCUGGUGUGGUGCUGAUGAUUGCCCAUGUUGGUGAUGAUGUUCAUCAUGGUUAGGCCCGUAAGCUUCUACCAGCGGUUGGACGUCGUGUGUAAUUGUCACAGGCAGCGUUCACCAUUCCUUGUGGAAAGCGAGCAAGCUCUUUUUAGACUCACCGACGCUGUACCAGGAUACGAAACAGCGUGCGGUGCAGGUGCAGCAUAAAUCGCGGAAGACGCAUCCCGCACGUGACUGGACGCAUGCGUGACGGCGGCUGAAAAGGUACAGGAGCUCGGGUUGGAGGAACGCCUCCCUCGCACACUCAUAGAACAUCGUGCAACUGGCCGUGUUCAUUAUAAGAAUUGCGUGCACUGCAGUGCAAAUGCGAGCGACGUUGUUUGCAGUGUCAAGUGCAGAUGCCGACGCUGCCGUCUUUUAGGGCACAAGCUCGAUGAGUCGUACGAGGUGUCAGGAGCUGUGCCAUUACUGCCUUCAACAAGGUUGACCCUGGGAUGCGCCCAAUUGGAGGACGCUGCUGUCGACCUGGAUUCCACACGCGUGUCGGAAGAGAAUGGAACGCGUGCACUUUGCUCAUUCAGAUGUAGCAACCAGAAUCUGGCUGGCGUCCGACCGUCAUCGAAACCAGCCAUCAUGCGUCCUUCCCGCAGCUUCUUCUUUUUCCUUUCGUUGAUCACCGGCAUUAAAUAUACCGGUCACGCUUGUCCUUCCAUCACCGCUGUCGACAGUUUACGAAUUUGAUAGCAACAUCAAAGUUCUGGUUUAGCCGCUUACGGCUGUUUUCUAUGCGUUUGAUCGGCAGGCGGCACUCGCAAUCGACACUUCGCAUGCCAGUGUCAUCUGCUUUGCACAAGGCCAAGGAAUACCCUUUUUUAGCCGAGACACUUGUUUGUGACCAGAUGUUACCACGUAUCCACCAGAUUCCUCCUAUGAGAUCAGAACCGUGGAUUCAUGGCCGGCUGCAUGCCCUGGACGGGUGCAGAGGACUCCCCUCGAUGACCUUUUCUGUCCCCACAUUCAUCGCCAUACCCGAAGAUCACCGGCUCCUUCAGAGCGGUGCCCUCGACGAGUAUUCUGUCUGCUGCGUACGCAAGCGUAUGCGGUUCCUUUCGACAGAGGGUCUGUGGAACGCGAUCUUUUGCAUGAUGAAGCAGGUACCAGGAGCGGAAUCGAGGCUGGAUGACAAGUCGAGAAAUUUUGGAUCCGUCAACGCUCGCUUCGGGCACAACGGUGAAGCGCGCCUCACCAGAAAAUUGAUCCCUGCAAUGGCUCGAGUCCGAGUCUGGGACCUGUUUCUGUGAAAGCAGAAGAGACGGUAGCCUAUGCGAGCAUAUCCUGAGAGUGCUCGCUCACUGCCGCUGUUGAACGUCGGAUCUUCGAUUCUCACAGAGAAAGGAUUAUUUGACUUGCGAAAGGAUUCUGUUGUAUGAGAUGGAGCGUGCAGUGAACUUUGGACAUGAGCCUGUGAUCAAGUGAUCAAGGAACGACGUCGUUUUAUUGUCCUCGUUCAUCCAAUCCUGCGAAUGGCUGCGCGUGUACGAGUUGCCUCGAAACAACAGUAUCGAAAACACAAAGCGUGUGUGAUUUGUGCACGCCACACGUUGGAAAAACCGCUUGGGGCUCUGACGUUUCAGUAAGAUCAUGAUAUCGUUUAUUUUCCAAACCCUGAUUCCAAUGCCGUAACGCAUUCCAGAUGCAACGCGUCGUAGAAACCACCCAGAAAAGGCAAGCGAACACCAUAAACGACGUG
RNA transcript from Cyanidioschyzon merolae strain 10D, 2207 nucleotides. RefSeq lists it as hypothetical. Lineage: Eukaryota; Rhodophyta; Bangiophyceae; Cyanidiales; Cyanidiaceae. The record is from RefSeq and is a predicted model, not a curated record. The transcript has a single exon.